Small nuclear RNA from Aricia agestis (brown argus), 118 nucleotides. RefSeq annotates it as U5 spliceosomal RNA. The transcript has a single exon. The record is from RefSeq and is a predicted model, not a curated record. Lineage: Eukaryota; Metazoa; Arthropoda; Insecta; Lepidoptera; Lycaenidae.
CAACUCUGGUUUCCCUUCAAAACGUAUAAAUCUUUCGCCUUUUACUAAAGAUUUCCGUGGAGGGGAACACUCAAAUGAGUCUUCUCAUAUUUUUGUUGCCUUGCGUUCGUCGUAAGGC